This 256-nucleotide unclassified non-coding RNA is filed under the name Berkeleyomyces basicola. RNAcentral's name for it is "sequence contains 5.8S rRNA gene". Lineage: Eukaryota; Fungi; Ascomycota; Sordariomycetes; Microascales; Ceratocystidaceae. The record is from RNAcentral.
GAACGCACAUUGCGCCUGGCAGUAUUCUGCCAGGCAUGCCUGUCCGCGCGUCAUUUCCCCCCUCAAGCUCUGCUUGGUGUUGGAGGACCCGCGUUUAGUCGCGGGCCGCCGAAAUGCAUCGGCUGUUGUAUAUACAGCUUCCCUGUGUAGUAAAUGCUUAGCUUUACACUUUGAAACUUUUAUAUGACAUGCCGGAAAACCCUCAACUUUUGAAAGGUUGACCUCGGAUCAGGUAGGAAUACCCGCUGAACUUAAG